RNAcentral lists this ribosomal RNA (478 nucleotides) under uncultured bacterium. RNAcentral describes it as "partial 16S ribosomal RNA". It matches the Rfam family "Bacterial small subunit ribosomal RNA", at positions 28 to 523 of the family's 1533-position model. The record is from RNAcentral.
GACGAACGCUGGCGGCGUGCUUAACACAUGCAAGUCGAGCGAUGAAGUUCCUUCGGGAAUGGAUUAGCGGCGGACGGGUGCGUAACACGUGGGUAACCUGCCUCAUAGAGGGGAAUAGCCUUUCGAAAGGAAGAUUAAUACCGCAUAAGAUUGUAGUAUCGCAUGAUACAACAAUUAAAGGAGGAAUCCGCUAUGAGAUGGACCCGCGUCGCAUUAGCUAGUUGGUGAGGUAACGGCUCGCCAAGGCGACGAUGCGUAGCCGACCGGGGAGGGUGAACGGCCACAUUGGGACUGAGACACGGCCCAGACUCCUACGAGAGGCAGCAGUGGGGAAUAUUGCACAAUGGGGGAAGCCCUGAUGCCGCACGGCCGCGUGAGUGAUAACGGUCUUCGGAUUGUAAAACUCCGUCUUCAGGGACGAUAAUGACGGUACCUGAGGAGGAAGCCACGGCUAACUACGUGCCAGCCGCCGCAGUAA